UCUGUAGCAAGGUUAACCGUAUAGGGGAGCCGAAGGGAAACCGAGUCUUAACUGGGCGUUAAGUUGCAGGGUAUAGACCCGAAACCCGGUGAUCUAGCCAUGGGCAGGUUGAAGGUUGGGUAACACUAACUGGAGGACCGAACCGACUAAUGUUGAAAAAUUAGCGGAUGACCUGUGGCUGGGGGUGAAAGGCCAAUCAAACCGGGAGAUAGCUGGUUCUCCCCGAAAGCUAUUUAGGUAGCGCCUCGUGAAUUCAUCUCCGGGGGUAGAGCACUGUUUCGGCUAGGGGGCCAUCCCGGCUUACCAACCCGAUGCAAACUGCGAAUACCGGAGAAUGUUAUCACGGGAGACACACGGCGGGUGCUAACGUCCGUCGUGAAGAGGGAAACAACCCAGACCGCCAGCUAAGGUCCCAAAGUCAUGGUUAAGUGGGAAACGAUGUGGGAAGGCCCAGACAGCCAGGAUGUUGGCUUAGAAGCAGCCAUCAUUUAAAGAAAGCGUAAUAGCUCACUGGUCGAGUCGGCCUGCGCGGAAGAUGUAACGGGGCUAAACCAUG
RNAcentral lists this ribosomal RNA (556 nucleotides) under Citrobacter koseri. RNAcentral describes it as "partial 23S ribosomal RNA". It matches the Rfam family "Bacterial large subunit ribosomal RNA", at positions 634 to 1191 of the family's 2925-position model. Lineage: Bacteria; Pseudomonadati; Pseudomonadota; Gammaproteobacteria; Enterobacterales; Enterobacteriaceae. The record is from RNAcentral.